UGCAGUCCGACCGUUACUCGUCUCGGCAAAUCUUCCUGCACGUCACCACAUUUAGCAAACAGCCAACACAAAGAAGUGACGAAAUAGGUUUAAAAUAGUAUGUAUCAGUGAUUUUACUCAUUACUGAGGGAAAAACUGGGAGAAAAGGAAGAACUGAGGAUGAUGAUUUUCGGGCCGGCUCAGACCUGCAGGGACCACCUGUAACUGAUCCAUCCUGCUCCGGUUCACUGAACAAGGCUCUUUCUUGGUAUCAACCCUGAGAGGGGAACAAAGGGCAGCCAGGAGAAGGUGAUGUUCCAGAGGUCAGGGAAGCUGCUCCAGAAAAAGACAUCUACUGUAAAUCCCCAUGUAGCCUCCUUUAUAAAAAGACUGAUAGACUCUGAGUGGGACUUCAUGUAAACCCACAGCACUUCUCCGUACAGGACCUCACUUUGACAAAGCAAAAGCCCAGUCUGCAACCAGAUGUUCAUGUUGUCAUUUUAAGGUAACAAGUCUCAGUAUUGUGUUCGGUUCAGUAUAAAAUACUUCAGUUCCAGGUUUGUUCCAGGUGUUUAUUGAACAUGAUCAUGAGUUAUGACAGGCUGAUUCUAAAGGCAGGGUACCUGAAAUGUGAUAUGCAAUUUUUAAACAGAUUGUUGACAACCUGUUAAACAUCAUUAAUUGUUUUUAUAGAUUUUAUUUUACAAGACUUGAAUUACUUAAAAUUUGUUAGCUGCUGAAUUUGUUCAAUGCAAUAGUUAAAUAAUUUAAGUGAUAUAUAGGUAUCUUUUGUUACAGUUCAGGAAAAAUGGAAACCAAACUCAGUGUACCUGAACUAGAACAUUCAGAAUGAGAACCUGUUCAGCAUGAGGAAAUGAUUGUAUGUUACUGAAAUUGAAUGGGUCUAAUAAGUCAGUUUUUGAACUAUGUUUGAUACAGAGUUGGCUUUAAUAAAAGCUUAAUGUUGAAAAAUCA
This is a long non-coding RNA of Amphiprion ocellaris (clown anemonefish), 954 nucleotides long. RefSeq lists it as uncharacterized. NCBI's taxonomy places the organism in Eukaryota, Metazoa, Chordata, Actinopteri, Pomacentridae. The record is from RefSeq and is a predicted model, not a curated record. The transcript is spliced from 2 exons.